CACAACAUCGCAAAAAUAAAAUGACUUGACAACCUCAAUCCGAGGACGCCUGUCUUGUCCCUCCAGUCCCGUCAUCAGUAAGUAGACUGACCUGGGGACUGUGGGAAGAGUGGUUCUAACCUUGAGUCGUUUCGGUGGCCCUUCUUUCUCAUCCUCUGUCAUUUCCCUCUCUCACUCUCAAUAUCUUUCUCUCAUUCUCUCUACACAUA
Molecule: non-coding RNA, 209 nt
Organism: Caenorhabditis elegans
Lineage: Eukaryota; Metazoa; Nematoda; Chromadorea; Rhabditida; Rhabditidae
Source: Ensembl